UACGUAGGUGGCAAGCGUUGUCCGGAUUUACUGGGCGUAAAGGGUGCGUAGGUGGAUAUUUAAGUCAGAUGUGAAAUACCCGAGCUCAACUUGGGUGCUGCAUUUGAAACUGGGUAUCUAGAGUGCAGGAGAGGAAAGUGGAAUUCCUAGUGUAGCGGUGAAAUGCGUAGAGAUUAGGAAGAACACCAGUGGCGAAGGCGACUUUCUGGACUGUAACUGACACUGAGGCACGAAAGCGUGGGUAG
RNAcentral lists this ribosomal RNA (245 nucleotides) under uncultured bacterium. RNAcentral describes it as "partial 16S ribosomal RNA". It matches the Rfam family "Bacterial small subunit ribosomal RNA", at positions 524 to 768 of the family's 1533-position model. The record is from RNAcentral.